GUGGAGUUCAGUCUCCCCUGGGCAGCGGGGCGGCUACAUUGCAGGACCAGAUUCCUCCUUAGAUGUGGACCUUGCUAUAAGGCAUUUCAAACAGCCACUACCUUUCAUACUGCCCUGGGGCAGGAGAAUUUCACACUAUUUCAGUUCUCCUUUGCUUGAUCAAUAUUCCCCCUUUUUAUUGGAUCUUAGGUCGUAUCGCAUGGAGACACUUUGUGCAUCCACCCCCUUUUUAAAUGACCCAGGAUAUCUUCCCUCCAAACCGACCUAGCAACAUUUUCUCGACGUCUCUUGGAGACAGACCGACCAUCCAUUGACCGACUGUAUUGCGACAUCUCUGCACUACCCUAGCCCUGAUGAAGAGGCGGUAUUUCCUAUGAGCCUCGAAAUGUUGGCACCACUGUCUGCACCCACGAGACAGUAUUGGAAGGGUUCCUUGUUGCACUUUUUUGUCGCUCUAAAUAAUAUACAAUUUCGAGUCAAUGUCUUAUCUUGAGUAAUGUAUACUUGUAGUGCCGUUUA
Rana temporaria (common frog) is the source of this 519-nucleotide long non-coding RNA. RefSeq lists it as uncharacterized. The record is from RefSeq and is a predicted model, not a curated record. The transcript is spliced from 4 exons. NCBI's taxonomy places the organism in Eukaryota, Metazoa, Chordata, Amphibia, Anura, Ranidae.